Molecule: ribosomal RNA, 721 nt
Filed under: uncultured Mycoplasma sp.
Lineage: Bacteria; Bacillati; Mycoplasmatota; Mollicutes; Mycoplasmatales; Mycoplasmataceae
Description: bacterial SSU rRNA
Rfam family: Bacterial small subunit ribosomal RNA
Source: RNAcentral
UGCGGUAACACAUAGGUCACGAGCAUUAUCCGGAUUUAUUGGGCGUAAAGGAAGCGUAGGCGGACAGUCUGAUCCAGUGUUAAAUGCAUCUGCUCAACAGAUGUAUGCAUUGGAGAUCACCUGUCUAGAAUUAGUUAGGGGGUACUGGAAUUCAAUGUGGAGCGGUGGAAUGCGUAGAUAUAUUGAGGAACACCAGAGGCUAAGGCGAGUACCUGGGACAUAAUUGACGCUGAGGCUUGAAAGCGUGGGGAGCAAAUGGGAUUAGAUACCCCAGUAGUCCACGCCGUAAACGAUGGGUAUUAGGUAUUUGGAGUUCUCUGAGUGCUGUAGCUAACGCGUUAAAUACCCCGCCUGGGUAGUAUAUAUGCAAAUAUGAAACUCAAAGAAAUUGACGGGGACCUGAACAAGUGGUGGAGCAUGUUGCUUAAUUCGAUAAUACACGAAAAACCUUACCAAGGCUUGUAAUCUUCUGCAAAGCUAUAGAAAUAUAGUGGAGGCUAUCAGAAUGACAGGUGGUGCAUGGCUGUCGUCAGCUCGUGUCUUGAGAUGUUUGGUUAAGUCCCGUAACGAGCGCAACCCUACUCAUUAGUUACCUAGUUCUAAUGUGACUGAAUCGUAAGAUAUAGGAAGGAUGGGGCCAAGUCAAGUCAUCAUGCCCCUUAUGCCUUGGGCUGCAAACGUGCUACAAUGGUAGGUACAAUGUGUCGCAACCUAGCGAUAG